GGAUACGUGAGGAAACCAGCGACACCUGACUUUUAAUCAGAGGGUCCUGGGUUCGAGUCCCAGCGCGCUCACCA
RNAcentral lists this transfer RNA (74 nucleotides) under Microvirga vignae. RNAcentral describes it as "tRNA-Lys". It matches the Rfam family "tRNA". Rfam says of the family: Transfer RNA (tRNA) molecules are approximately 80 nucleotides in length. Lineage: Bacteria; Pseudomonadati; Pseudomonadota; Alphaproteobacteria; Hyphomicrobiales; Methylobacteriaceae. The record is from RNAcentral.